RNAcentral lists this transfer RNA (82 nucleotides) under Danionella translucida. It matches the Rfam family "tRNA". From Rfam's summary of the family: Transfer RNA (tRNA) molecules are approximately 80 nucleotides in length. RNAcentral also lists the same sequence under 1 other name. The record is from Rfam by way of RNAcentral. Lineage: Eukaryota; Metazoa; Chordata; Actinopteri; Cypriniformes; Danionidae.
GUUGUCGUGGCCGAGUGGUUAAGGCAAUGGACUAGAAAUCCAUUGGGGUUACCCCGCGCAGGUUCAAAUCCUGCCGAUAACG